UGUUGUCCUGGUGCAAGCGCGUAGGCCGAGAGAUAGGCAAAUCCGUCUCUCACAUAGGCUGAGACACGAUGCGGAUAAAAAGUGGGUGAUCCUAUGCUGCCAAGAAAAGCAUCGACGCGAGGUUCAAGCCGCCCGUACCCCAAACCGACUCAGGUGGUCAGGUAGAGAAUACUAAGGAGAUCGAGAGAAUCGUGGUUAAGGAACUCGGCAAAAUGCCCCCGUAACUUCGGGAGAAGGGGGGCCUUCGACGUAUAAGGAUUUACUCCGAAAGCGUUUGGAGGCCGCAGAGACUAGUGGGUAGCGACUGUUUAUUAAAAACACAGGUCCGUGCCAAGUCGCAAGACGAUGUAUACGGACUGACGCCUGCCCGGUGCUGGAAGGUUAAGAGGACCGGUUAGCCGCAAGGCGAAGCUGAGAAUUUAAGCCCCAGUAAACGGCGGUGGUAACUAUAACCAUCCUAAGGUAGCGAAAUUCCUUGUCGGGUAAGUUCCGACCUGCACGAAUGGCGUAACGACUUCCCAACUGUCUCAACCGCGAACUCGGCGAAAUUGCAUUACGAGUAAAGAUGCUCGUUACGCGCAGCAGGACGGAAAGACCCCGUGACCUUUACUAUAGCUUUGUAUUGGUGUUCGGUGUGGCUUGUGUAGGAUAGGUGGGAGAAUUUGAAGCACGGACGCCAGUUCGUGUGGAUUCAUUGUUGAAAUACCACUCUGGUCACUCUGGAUGUCUAACUUCGAACCGUAAUCCGGUUCAGGGACAGUGCAUGGUGGGUAGUUUAACUGGGGCGGUUGCCUCCCAAAAAGUAACGGAGGCGCCCAAAGGUUCCCUCAACCUGGUUGGCAAUCAGGUGGCGAGUGUAAGCGCACAAGGGAGCUUGACUGUGAGACUGACAGGUCGAGCAGGGACGAAAGUCGGGACUAGUGAUCCGGCAGUGGCUUGUGGAAGCGCUGUCGCUCAACGGAUAAAAGGUACCUCAGGGAUAACAGGCUGAUCUUGCCCAAGAGUCCAUAUCGACGGCAUGGUUUGGCACCUCGAUGUCGGCUCGUCGCAUCCUGGGGCUGGAGUAGGUCCCAAGGGUUGGGCUGUUCGCCCAUUAAAGCGGUACGCGAGCUGGGUUUAGAACGUCGUGAGACAGUUCGGUCCCUAUCCGCUGCGCGCGCAGGAAAUUUGAGAGGAUCUGACCCUAGUACGAGAGGACCGGGUUGGACGAACCUCUGGUGUGUCAGUUGUUCCGCCAGGAGCACCGCUGAUUAGCUACGUUCGGGAUGGAUAACCGCUGAAAGCAUCUAAGCGGGAAGCCGGCCUCAAGAUGAGAUUUCCAUGCCUUCGGGCGAGAGGCUCCCAGCCAGACUACUGGGUUGAUAGGCCGGAUGUGGAAGCGUGGUAACACGUGAAGCUGACCGGUACUAAUAAGCCGAUGAUUUGUU
Molecule: ribosomal RNA, 1427 nt
Filed under: metagenome
Description: bacterial LSU rRNA
Rfam family: Bacterial large subunit ribosomal RNA
Source: RNAcentral